This 336-nucleotide ribosomal RNA is filed under the name uncultured cyanobacterium. RNAcentral's name for it is "bacterial SSU rRNA". It matches the Rfam family "Bacterial small subunit ribosomal RNA", at positions 123 to 491 of the family's 1533-position model. The record is from RNAcentral. Lineage: Bacteria; Bacillati; Cyanobacteriota.
GAUUGCCUUAGAGGGAUAACAAUUGGAACGAUGCUAUACCCCAUAUGCCUUCGAGUGAAAUGGAUUUAUAUUAUCCGCCUAGAGAGAAGCUCGCGGCUGAUUAGCUUGUUGGUAAGGUAAGAGCUUACCAAGGCGACGAUCAGUAUCUGGUUUGAGAGGACGAUCAGACACACUGGAACUGAGACACGGUCCAGACUCCUACGGGAGGCAGCAGUGGGGAAUUUUCCGCAAUGGGCGAAAGCCUGACGGAGCAAUACCGCGUGAGGGAAGACUGCCUAUGGGUUGUAAACCUCUUUUUUCAGGGAGGAAUCAAUGACGUGUACCUGAAGNAUAAGC